GGUCGAUUAGCUUAGUUGGUAGAGCGUGGUACUAAUAAUGCCAAGGCCGGGGGUUUGAGCUCCCCAUGGACCA
Molecule: transfer RNA, 73 nt
Filed under: Melampsora larici-populina 98AG31
Lineage: Eukaryota; Fungi; Basidiomycota; Pucciniomycetes; Pucciniales; Melampsoraceae
Description: tRNA-Ile (AAT) (tRNA-Ile-AAT-6-1)
Rfam family: tRNA
About the family: Transfer RNA (tRNA) molecules are approximately 80 nucleotides in length. Their secondary structure includes four short double-helical elements and three loops (D, anti-codon, and T loops). Further hydrogen bonds mediate the characteristic L-shaped molecular structure. tRNAs have two regions of fundamental functional importance: the anti-codon, which is responsible for specific mRNA codon recognition, and the 3' end, to which the tRNAs corresponding amino acid is attached (by aminoacyl-tRNA synthetases). tRNAs cope with the degeneracy of the genetic code in two manners: having more than one tRNA (with a specific anti-codon) for a particular amino acid; and 'wobble' base-pairing, i.e. permitting non-standard base-pairing at the 3rd anti-codon position.
Source: RNAcentral